Molecule: ribosomal RNA, 516 nt
Filed under: Pichia manshurica
Lineage: Eukaryota; Fungi; Ascomycota; Pichiomycetes; Pichiales; Pichiaceae
Description: partial large subunit ribosomal RNA
Rfam family: Eukaryotic large subunit ribosomal RNA
Source: RNAcentral
CAGGGACUGCUUCAGUAGCGGCGAGUGAAGCGGCAAGAGCUCAGAUUAGAAAUCGUGUUUCGGCACGAGUUGUAGAGUGUAGGCGGGAGUCUCUGUGGAGCGCGGUGUCCAAGUCCCUUGGAACAGGGUGCCUGAGAGGGUGAGAGCCCCGUAGGGUGCUGCGCGAAGCUUUUGAGGCCCUGCUGACGAGUCGAGUUGUUUGGGAAUGCAGCUCCAAGCGGGUGGUAAAUUCCAUCUAAGGCUAAAUAUUGGCGAGAGACCGAUAGCGAACAAGUACUGUGAAGGAAAGAUGAAAAGCACUUUGAAAAGAGAGUGAAACAGCACGUGAAAUUGUUGAAAGGGAAGGGUAUUGGGCUCGACAUGGGGGGUGCGCACCGCUGUCUCUUGUAGGCGGCGCUCUGGGCGCCCUCUGGGCCAGCAUCGGUUCCUGCUGCGGGAGAAGGGGCUCCGGAAAGUGGCUCUUCGGAGUGAUAUGGCCGGGGCCAGAUGCCGCGUGUGGGGACCGAGGACUGCAGC